Molecule: ribosomal RNA, 595 nt
Filed under: Streptomyces variabilis
Lineage: Bacteria; Bacillati; Actinomycetota; Actinomycetes; Kitasatosporales; Streptomycetaceae
Description: bacterial SSU rRNA
Rfam family: Bacterial small subunit ribosomal RNA
Source: RNAcentral
AUAUUGCACAAUGGGCGAAAGCCUGAUGCAGCGACGCCGCGUGAGGGAUGACGGCCUUCGGGUUGUAAACCUCUUUCAGCAGGGAAGAAGCGAAAGUGACGGUACCUGCAGAAGAAGCGCCGGCUAACUUUUUGUUUGCAGCCGCGGUAAUACGUAGGGCGCGAGCGUUGUCCGGAAUUAUUGGGCGUAAAGCGCUCGUAGGCGGCUUGUCACGUCGGUUGUGAAAGCCCGGGGCUUAACCCCGGGUCUGCAGUCGAUACGGGCAGGCUAGAGUUCGGUAGGGGAGAUCGGAAUUCCUGGUGUAGCGGUGAGAAUGCGCAGAUAUCAGGAGGAACACCGGUGGCGAAGGCGGAUCUCUGGGCCGAUACUGACGCUGAGGAGCGAAAGCGUGGGGAGCGAACAGGAUUAGAUACCCUGGUAGUCCACGCCGUAGAACGGUGGGCACUAGGUGUGGGCGACAUUCCACGUCGUCCGUGCCGCAGCUAACGCAUUAAGUGCCCCGCCUGGGGAGUACGGCCGCAAGGCUAAAACUCAAAGGGAGUUGACGGGGGCCCCGCACAAGCGGCGGAGCAUGUGGCUUUAGUUUCGACGCAGC